RNAcentral lists this long non-coding RNA (378 nucleotides) under Cicer arietinum (chickpea). RNAcentral describes it as "long non-coding RNA (CARI_LNC000405)". The record is from RNAcentral. Lineage: Eukaryota; Viridiplantae; Streptophyta; Magnoliopsida; Fabales; Fabaceae.
GCCACUGUAUUUACUUUGAAAAAUACAUUGAGUUAUAAUGGAAAGUUCAUUGAAAAUGGCAUUGAAGUUUGUUGUGUUUUUUGUUGCUAUUGCAACAAUCCUAAUGGGAAGUGCACAUGCCACAAGAUCAAUUAAUAUUGACCCUGAAACUGCAUAUCCUGAUUGCAUCCCAAAUUGCUUCUUUCACCCAAGAUGCUGUGCACCUAUUGAUCUCGUAUCACCCUAAAAUUUUAGGGUUAGUUUUACACUAAUAAUACUCUUGGAUUUGAGAAUAAAGAUCCAUUUCAUAUGUAAUGAUUGAAUAUAUAAGAUUAAAAAUGAAAAAUGAUUAUUCAUUUUUCUCUAUUUUUAUUUGAACUUUGCACAAUAUGUAAUAAG